Molecule: ribosomal RNA, 436 nt
Filed under: uncultured bacterium
Lineage: Bacteria
Description: partial 16S ribosomal RNA
Rfam family: Bacterial small subunit ribosomal RNA
Source: RNAcentral
UAGGGAAUCUUCCACAAUGGACGCAAGUCUGAUGGAGCAACGCCGCGUGAGUGAAGAAGGCUUUCGGGUCGUAAAACUCUGUUAUUGAAGAAGAACGUGUGUGACAGUAACUGGUCAUGCAGUGACGGUAUUCAAUCAGAAAGUCACGGCUAACUACGUGCCAGCAGCCGCGGUAAUACGUAGGUGGCAAGCGUUGUCCGGAUUUAUUGGGCGUAAAGCGAGUGCAGGCGGUCUUUUAAGUCUGAUGUGAAAGCCUUCGGCUUAACCGAAGAAGGACAUCGGAAACUGGGAGACUUGAGUGCAGAAGAGGAGAGUGGAACUCCAUGUGUAGCGGUGAAAUGCGUAGAUAUAUGGAAGAACACCAGUGGCGAAGGCGGCUCUCUGGUCUGUAACUGACGCUGAGGCACGAAAAGCGUGGGUAGCAAAACAGGAUUAG